RNAcentral lists this ribosomal RNA (555 nucleotides) under uncultured bacterium. RNAcentral describes it as "partial 16S ribosomal RNA". It matches the Rfam family "Bacterial small subunit ribosomal RNA", at positions 355 to 899 of the family's 1533-position model. The record is from RNAcentral.
UGGGGAAUUUUGGACAAUGGGCGAAAGCCUGAUCCAGCAAUGCCGCGUGUGUGAAGAAGGCCUUCGGGUUGUAAAGCACUUUUGUCCGGAAAGAAAUCCUUGGCUCUAAUACAGUCGGGGGAUGACGGUACCGGAAGAAUAAGCACCGGCUAACUACGUGCCAGCAGCCGCGGUAAUACGUAGGGUGCAAGCGUUAAUCGGAAUUACUGGGCGUAAAGCGUGCGCAGGCGGUUUGCUAAGACCGAUGUGAAAUCCCCGGGCUCAACCUGGGAACUGCAUUGGUGACUGGCAGGCUAGAGUAUGGCAGAGGGGGGUAGAAUUCCACGUGUAGCAGUGAAAUGCGUAGAGAUGUGGAGGAAUACCGAUGGCGAAGGCAGCCCCCUGGGCCAAUACUGACGCUCAUGCACGAAAGGCGUGGGGGAGCAAAGCAGGAUUAGAUACCCUGGUAGUCCACGCCCUAAACGAUGUCAACUAGUUGUUGGGGAUUCAUUUCCUUAGUAACGUAGCUAACGCGUGAAGUUGACCGCCUGGGGGAGUACGGUCGCAAGAUUAAAA